AUAGCUGACGAAAAGCCCAAGGAAGGAGUCAAGGCUGAGAACCACGAUCAUACUAAUUUAACGGUGGCAGGGAAAGAUGGUUCUGUGAUGCAGUUUAAGAUUAAGAGGCAUACACCACUUAGUAAACUAAUGAAAGCCUAUUGUGAAAGACAGGGAUUGUCAAUGAGGCAGAUUAGAUUACAAUUCCACAGGUAACCAAUCAAUGAAACAGACACACCUGCACAGUUGGAAAUGGAGGAUGAAGAUACAAUUGAUGUGUUCCAACAGCAGACGGGAGGUGUCU
RNAcentral lists this long non-coding RNA (283 nucleotides) under Homo sapiens (human). RNAcentral's name for it is "non-protein coding lnc-PRDM14-2:1". Lineage: Eukaryota; Metazoa; Chordata; Mammalia; Primates; Hominidae. The record is from RNAcentral.